Molecule: ribosomal RNA, 137 nt
Filed under: uncultured Trebouxiophyceae
Lineage: Eukaryota; Viridiplantae; Chlorophyta; Trebouxiophyceae
Description: partial small subunit ribosomal RNA
Rfam family: Eukaryotic small subunit ribosomal RNA
Source: RNAcentral
CGCCCGUCGCUCCUACCGAUUGGAUGUGCUGGUGAAGCGUUCGGACCGGCGGCCGCAGGCGGUUCUCCGCCGGCAGUCGCUGGGAAGUCCGUUGAACCCUCCCAUCUAGAGGAAGGAGAAGUCGUAACAAGGUCUCC